Long non-coding RNA from Micropterus salmoides (largemouth bass), 753 nucleotides. RefSeq lists it as uncharacterized. Lineage: Eukaryota; Metazoa; Chordata; Actinopteri; Centrarchiformes; Centrarchidae. The record is from RefSeq and is a predicted model, not a curated record. The transcript is spliced from 2 exons.
CCACUAAUGACAUAAUGACCAAAUGAGCAACAGGUGUGGAAGCUGGCAACGGAUUGGACAGGACUCCUUUUUAAGUGAAGCAACGGCAGUAGGAAGAGCAAGGAACGCAACAACAUGGAUGAAGGAUGUAGGCCGGUAAGGAGCGUGACUGCGGGGAAGCAGGCAGAGGAGAUGGAGGUUCGAUGGAGAGAAGUGUGAAGAGAGCAGCAGUGGAAGUCGGCCAGCUCGUUGGGUGCUUAGCAGGGGGGGCAUCGAGCAGGAGGACGGCAGCUAUGAGACACCUAUGGGGAAGUAAUUGAUUGGACGGAACCGGCGCGGCAGCUGAGACGACGCGGCAGCCGAGACGACGCAGCAGCAGGCGACCGUGAGAGUAGUCGCUAUAGAGGCCUGCAAGAAGACGCCGGGCUGAUUCGGGCAGAGCCAGGAGCAACACGAGUAGACGACCGCAGCAGCCAGUAUCCGCCAACACGCUUCCACUCAGGCCUGGGCGAACGGUACGACUGUCGCCCGGGGAAACCGAAACGGACGAGCGGCGAGGACUGUGGAGCAGGCGGAGCGACCCGUGGAGCUACUGGGCCGUGGGACGGAGGAAUCCCCAGAGGGACUGUUUGCCGUGCCGGGAGCUGUCAAAUCACGAAACAUUUAGCUUUUAGAACUUAGCUUUUGUUUUUUAUCUGUGGCAUCACAUGGGUUUUGGUUAGGAUGUUUUAAACUUAUAAACAUUUUUUAAUUGUAAUAAAUUGUUAACAUUUA